Molecule: unclassified non-coding RNA, 182 nt
Filed under: uncultured fungus
Lineage: Eukaryota; Fungi
Description: sequence contains ITS1
Source: RNAcentral
CAAGAAUCGAGGCUAACGCGCCUGCCGGGGCUUUGUGCGCCCGUGCUAGGUUGCGUCCGGCCCCGCUCCUUACCUUGCCUAUUGCACCGUUCGUUGCUUCCUGGCGGUGGGACACCGCCGCCAGGAACCUUCUAAAAGUCUUGUAUAGAAGCAUUGAAACCCCUGAUAUACACUAAAUCGUA